This 435-nucleotide ribosomal RNA is filed under the name Camellia piquetiana. RNAcentral's name for it is "partial large subunit ribosomal RNA". It matches the Rfam family "Eukaryotic large subunit ribosomal RNA", at positions 2927 to 3377 of the family's 3401-position model. Lineage: Eukaryota; Viridiplantae; Streptophyta; Magnoliopsida; Ericales; Theaceae. The record is from RNAcentral.
GAUUGUUCACCCACCAAUAGGGAACGUGAGCUGGGUUUAGACCAUCGUGAGACAGGUUAGUUUUACCCUACUAAUGAUAGCGUCGCAAUAGUACGAGAAGAACCAUUAAUUCGCACAAUUGGUCAUUGCGCUUAGUUGAAAAGCCAGUGGCACGAAGCUACAAUGCAUUGGAUUAUGACUGAACGCCUCUAAGUCAGAAUUCGGGCUAGAAGCGAUGCAUGUGCCUAGCGCCCGUUUACUGACUCACAGUAGGGGCCGUUCGGCCCCCAAAGGCACAUGUUGUUAGUGAAGCCUGUACGGCGGAUGACCCGCGUAGGCUGCCUUAAAGUAUAGUUCCUGUCUCGACCGGCGGGUAGAAUCCUUUGCAGACGACUUAAGUACACGACGGGGUAUUGUAAGUGGCAGAGUGGCCUUGCUACCACGAUCCACUGAGAU